CCUACGUGAGGCAGCAGUGGGGAAUAUUGCGCAAUGGGCGAAAGCCUGACGCAGCGACGCCGCGUGAGGGAUGAAGGUCUUUGGAUCGUAAACCUCUGUCAGCAGGGAAGAACGGUCACUGUGCUAAUCAGCAGUGAAUUGACGGUACCUGCAAAGGAAGCACCGGCUAACUCCGUGCCAGCAGCCGCGGUAAUACGGAGGGUGCGAGCGUUAAUCGGAAUUACUGGGCGUAAAGCGCUCGUAGGCGGUAUGUCAAGUCAAGGGUGAAAUCCCCGCGCUCAACGUGGGAACUGCCUUUGAAACUGGCAAACUGGAGUGUGUGAGAGGAUAGUGGAAUUCCAGGUGUAGGAGUGAAAUCCGUAGAUAUCUGGAGGAACAUCAGUGGCGAAGGCGACUAUCUGGCACAUAACUGACGCUGAGGAGCGAAAGCGUGGGUAGCAAACAGGAUUAGAUACCCCAGUAGUC
This 465-nucleotide ribosomal RNA is filed under the name uncultured bacterium. Its description in RNAcentral is "partial 16S ribosomal RNA". It matches the Rfam family "Bacterial small subunit ribosomal RNA", at positions 338 to 795 of the family's 1533-position model. The record is from RNAcentral.